CCUACGGGAGGCAGCAGUCGAGAAUCAUUCACAAUGGGGGAAACCCUGAUGGUGCGACGCCGCGUGGGGGAAUGAAGGUCUUCGGAUUGUAAACCCCUGUCAUGUGGGAGCAAAUUAAAAAGAUAGUACCACAAGAGGAAGAGACGGCUAACUCUGUGCCAGCAGCCGCGGUAAUACAGAGGUCUCAAGCGUUGUUCGGAAUCACUGGGCGUAAAGCGUGCGUAGGCUGUUUCGUAAGUCGUGUGUGAAAGGCGCGGGCUCAACCCGCGGACGGCACAUGAUACUGCGAGACUAGAGUAAGGGAGGGGGAACCGGAAUUCUCGGUGUAGAGUGAAAUGCGUAGAUAUCGAGAGGAACACUCGUGGCGAAGGCGGGUUCCUGGACAUUAACUGACGCUGAGGCACGAAGGCCAGGGGAGCGAAAGGGAUUAGAUACCCGUGUAGUC
RNAcentral lists this ribosomal RNA (445 nucleotides) under uncultured bacterium. RNAcentral describes it as "partial 16S ribosomal RNA". It matches the Rfam family "Bacterial small subunit ribosomal RNA", at positions 338 to 795 of the family's 1533-position model. The record is from RNAcentral.